Molecule: ribosomal RNA, 388 nt
Filed under: uncultured bacterium
Lineage: Bacteria
Description: bacterial SSU rRNA
Rfam family: Bacterial small subunit ribosomal RNA
Source: RNAcentral
UUACCGGCUUGACAUGCAGAAACGCUUCGGACAGGUGCUGCAUGGCUGUCGUCAGCUCGUGCCGUGAGGUGUUGGGUUAAGUCCCGCAACGAGCGCAACCCUAUGUUAGUUGCCAGCAGAGUGGACUCUAGCAGACUGCCGGUGAAAGCGGAGGAAGGUGGGGAUGACGUCAAGUCAGUAUGGUCCUUAUGCCGGGCUGCACACGUGCUACAAUGGGGUACAAAGGGCACCGCGAGGGGAGCAAUCCCCAACCGCCCCAGUUCGGAUUGGAGUCUGAAAUUCGACUCCAUGAAGUUGGAAUCGCUAGUAAAGCCGAUCAGCACGCGGCUUGAAUACGUCCCGGGCCUUGUACACACCGCCCGUCACAUCAUGGAAGUCUGUGACCGAA